This 465-nucleotide ribosomal RNA is filed under the name uncultured bacterium. RNAcentral describes it as "partial 16S ribosomal RNA". It matches the Rfam family "Bacterial small subunit ribosomal RNA", at positions 338 to 795 of the family's 1533-position model. The record is from RNAcentral.
CCUACGGGUGGCAGCAGUGGGGAAUAUUGCGCAAUGGGAGAAAGCCUGACGCAGCGACGCCGCGUGAGGGAUGAAGGUCUUCGGAUCGGAAACCUCUGUCAGCAGGGGAGAACGGUCACUGUGCUAAUCGGCAGUGAAUUGACGGUACCUGCAAAGGAAGCACCGGCUAACUCCGUGCCAGCCGCCGCGGUAAUACGGAGGGUGCGAGCGUUAAUCGGACUUACUGGGCGUAAAGCGCUCGUAGGCGGUAUGUUAAGUCAAGGGUGAAAUCCCCGCGCUCAACGUGGGGACUGCCUUUGAUACUGGAAAACUAGAGUGCGUGUGAGGAUAGUGGAAUUCGAGGUGUAGGAGUGAAAUCCGUAGAUAUCUGGCGGAACAUCAGUUGCGAAGGCGACUAUCUGGCACAUAACUGACGCUGAGGAGCGAAAGCGUGGGUAGCAAACAGGAUUAGAUACCCUAGUAGUC